AACGAACGCUAGCGGCAGGCCUGACACAUGCAAGUCGAACGGACAUCGAAGUUGGUUCGCCAAUGGAGAUGUUAGUGGCAGACGGGUGAGGAAUACAUAGGAAUCUACCUAGUAGUAUGGAAUAGUCACUGGAAACGGUGAGUAAUACCACAUACGCCCUGCGGGGGAAAGAUUUAUCGCUAUUAGAUGAGCCUAUGCUGGAUUAGCUAGUUGGUGGGGUAAAUGCCUACCAAGGCGACGAUCCAUAGCUGGCCUGGGAGGGUGACCAGCCACACUGGAACUGAGAUACGGUCCAGACUCCUACGGGAGGCAGCAGUGGGGAAUAUUGGGCAAUGGGCGCAAGCCUGACCCAGCCAUGCCGCAUGAGUGAAGAAGGCCUUCGGGUUGUAAAGCUCUUUCAGCGGGGAAGAUUAUGACGGUACCCGCAGAAGAAGUCCUGGCUAACUCCGUGCCAGCCGCCGCUGUAA
RNAcentral lists this ribosomal RNA (467 nucleotides) under uncultured bacterium. RNAcentral's name for it is "partial 16S ribosomal RNA". It matches the Rfam family "Bacterial small subunit ribosomal RNA", at positions 29 to 523 of the family's 1533-position model. The record is from RNAcentral.